This 1520-nucleotide ribosomal RNA is filed under the name human gut metagenome. RNAcentral's name for it is "bacterial SSU rRNA". It matches the Rfam family "Bacterial small subunit ribosomal RNA". The record is from RNAcentral.
AGAGUUUGAUCAUGGCUCAGAUUGAACGCUGGCGGCAGGCCUAACACAUGCAAGUCGAGCGGUAGCACAGAGAGCUUGCUCUCGGGUGACGAGCGGCGGACGGGUGAGUAAUGUCUGGGAAACUGCCUGAUGGAGGGGGAUAACUACUGGAAACGGUAGCUAAUACCGCAUAACGUCGCAAGACCAAAGUGGGGGACCUUCGGGCCUCAUGCCAUCAGAUGUGCCCAGAUGGGAUUAGCUGGUAGGUGGGGUAACGGCUCACCUAGGCGACGAUCCCUAGCUGGUCUGAGAGGAUGACCAGCCACACUGGAACUGAGACACGGUCCAGACUCCUACGGGAGGCAGCAGUGGGGAAUAUUGCACAAUGGGCGCAAGCCUGAUGCAGCCAUGCCGCGUGUGUGAAGAAGGCCUUCGGGUUGUAAAGCACUUUCAGCGGGGAGGAAGGCGAUAAGGUUAAUAACCUUGUCGAUUGACGUUACCCGCAGAAGAAGCACCGGCUAACUCCGUGCCAGCAGCCGCGGUAAUACGGAGGGUGCAAGCGUUAAUCGGAAUUACUGGGCGUAAAGCGCACGCAGGCGGUCUGUCAAGUCGGAUGUGAAAUCCCCGGGCUCAACCUGGGAACUGCAUUCGAAACUGGCAGGCUAGAGUCUUGUAGAGGGGGGUAGAAUUCCAGGUGUAGCGGUGAAAUGCGUAGAGAUCUGGAGGAAUACCGGUGGCGAAGGCGGCCCCCUGGACAAAGACUGACGCUCAGGUGCGAAAGCGUGGGGAGCAAACAGGAUUAGAUACCCUGGUAGUCCACGCUGUAAACGAUGUCGAUUUGGAGGUUGUGCCCUUGAGGCGUGGCUUCCGGAGCUAACGCGUUAAAUCGACCGCCUGGGGAGUACGGCCGCAAGGUUAAAACUCAAAUGAAUUGACGGGGGCCCGCACAAGCGGUGGAGCAUGUGGUUUAAUUCGAUGCAACGCGAAGAACCUUACCUGGUCUUGACAUCCACAGAACUUUCCAGAGAUGGAUUGGUGCCUUCGGGAACUGUGAGACAGGUGCUGCAUGGCUGUCGUCAGCUCGUGUUGUGAGAUGUUGGGUUAAGUCCCGCAACGAGCGCAACCCUUAUCCUUUGUUGCCAGCGGUUAGGCCGGGAACUCAAAGGAGACUGCCAGUGAUAAACUGGAGGAAGGUGGGGAUGACGUCAAGUCAUCAUGGCCCUUACGACCAGGGCUACACACGUGCUACAAUGGCAUAUACAAAGAGAAGCGACCUCGCGAGAGCAAGCGGACCUCAUAAAGUAUGUCGUAGUCCGGAUUGGAGUCUGCAACUCGACUCCAUGAAGUCGGAAUCGCUAGUAAUCGUAGAUCAGAAUGCUGCGGUGAAUACGUUCCCGGGCCUUGUACACACCGCCCGUCACACCAUGGGAGUGGGUUGCAAAAGAAGUAGGUAGCUUAACCUUCGGGAGGGCGCUUACCACUUUGUGAUUCAUGACUGGGGUGAAGUCGUAACAAGGUAACCGUAGGGGAACCUGCGGUUG